GAUGAACGCUGGCGGCGUGCCUAAUACAUGCAAGUCGAGCGAACAGACGAGGAGCUUGCUCCUCUGACGUUAGCGGCGGACGGGUGAGUAACACGUGGAUAACCUACCUAUAAGACUGGGAUAACUUCGGGAAACCGGAGCUAAUACCGGAUAACAUGUUGAACCGCAUGGUUCAACAGUGAAAGACGGUCUUGCUGUCACUGAUAGAUGGAUCCGCGCGGCAUUAGUUAGUUGGUAAGGUAACGUCUUACCAAGUCAACGAUGCGUAGCCGACCUGAGAGGGUGAUCGUCCACACUGCACCUGAGUCCCGGUCCAGACUCCUACGGGAGGCAGCAGUAGGGAAUCUUCCGCAAUGGGCGCAAGCCUGACGGAGCAACGCCGCGUGAGUGAAGAAGGUCUUCGGUUCGUAAAGCGCUCUUAUGAGCAAAGAACAAAUCUGUAAGUAACUGUGCACGUCUUGACGGUAUCCUAUCAGAAAGGCACGGCUAACUACGUG
RNAcentral lists this ribosomal RNA (497 nucleotides) under uncultured bacterium. RNAcentral's name for it is "partial 16S ribosomal RNA". It matches the Rfam family "Bacterial small subunit ribosomal RNA", at positions 28 to 507 of the family's 1533-position model. The record is from RNAcentral.